Long non-coding RNA from Monopterus albus (swamp eel), 575 nucleotides. RefSeq lists it as uncharacterized. The transcript has 3 exons. NCBI's taxonomy places the organism in Eukaryota, Metazoa, Chordata, Actinopteri, Synbranchiformes, Synbranchidae. The record is from RefSeq and is a predicted model, not a curated record.
CAGUGGCCAAAGCCUCCUUUUCUGUCUCCAUCGCCGACACACAGAUCUGAUGUGUGGCCAGUCAGCGCUCCAUGUGCCCUGGCCUCACCUCCAAGCGCAACAGAGCCGUAAACCACACUGGCUCGGCUGUUAUACACACUCAUUACUAUUUCACCAGCAGCGGAACAACAGCACUGACAGCUCCUGUGUCCCCAACAUGAAUAAGAGAAAAAUCACCAUCGCACACGGUUGGCCCUGUCGUCGUGCUUUUCCUUUUGUUCCAGGAAGUCACAGGGUGGAGCUGAGACCUUGUUGGAGAAGCAGCCCACCUGAGGAUGCUUGGCUCAGAAGUCUGUACAUCAGACAUGUUAUAACAAACCGGGGGCUCGUCCAGGAUGUGUAAAUACCUUUCUUUCCAUUCUGUCAGCCUCGCUCUAAAUGUCUUUAAAGAUUAACUGAUUAUCUGUUGGCAAUUAUUUUUCUGACGAUUAACUGUAGUAGCAGAGAUGCAACGACUGCAAUUUUCUUAGCCAAUUCCGAUUUUGUCUAAGUCUGACCUGCUGAUUCUGAUUUUCUUUCUUAAGAACUAUAAAUAA